This 253-nucleotide ribosomal RNA is filed under the name uncultured bacterium. RNAcentral describes it as "partial 16S ribosomal RNA". It matches the Rfam family "Bacterial small subunit ribosomal RNA", at positions 524 to 776 of the family's 1533-position model. The record is from RNAcentral.
UACAGAGGUCUCAAGCGUUGUUCGGAUUCAUUGGGCGUAAAGGGUGCGUAGGCGGCGUGGUAAGUCGGAUGUGAAAUCUCGGAGCUUAACUCCGAAACUGCAUUCGAUACUGCCGUGCUUGAGGACUGGAGAGGAGACUGAAAUUUACGGUGUAGCGGUGAAAUGCGUAGAUAUCGUAAGGAAGACCAGUGGCGAAGGCGGGUCUCUGGACAGUUCCUGACGCUGAGGCACGAAGGCCAGGGGAGCAAACGGG